Molecule: transfer RNA, 73 nt
Filed under: Candidatus Woesearchaeota archaeon
Lineage: Archaea; Nanobdellati; Candidatus Woesearchaeota
Description: tRNA-Val
Rfam family: tRNA
About the family: Transfer RNA (tRNA) molecules are approximately 80 nucleotides in length. Their secondary structure includes four short double-helical elements and three loops (D, anti-codon, and T loops).
Source: RNAcentral
GGGCCCGUGGUUUAGUGGUUAUAACGUCGCCUUUACAAGGCGAAUGUCACCGGUUCAAAUCCGGUCGGGCCCA